UUCAGGGCUUCCCUCUUUUGAAGAAGAUUGGUACAGCUAAGUUGUCCAAUGGUCUAUACAUUCUGCAGAGACCAGCCAAUUCUGCUUCACAUCCCACUCCAGCGAGUGCUUUCAUUACAGAGAAAUAUCAAUCUCUGAUCACAGCAGCAGUCCCUGCUAGUUCAAAACAUUUAGCAUUCACUUUUUCUCGUGUAAAGCACAUCAUAGAUCCCUGGCAUUAUCGCCUUGGACAUGUAGGCAACAAAUGCUUGCAAGUAUUAUCACAAAAUAAUGAUACAAUACAAAUUCAACGAGAAUUU
RNAcentral lists this long non-coding RNA (299 nucleotides) under Linum usitatissimum (flax). RNAcentral describes it as "long non-coding RNA (LUSI_LNC005025)". The record is from RNAcentral. Lineage: Eukaryota; Viridiplantae; Streptophyta; Magnoliopsida; Malpighiales; Linaceae.